RNAcentral lists this ribosomal RNA (253 nucleotides) under uncultured bacterium. RNAcentral's name for it is "partial 16S ribosomal RNA". It matches the Rfam family "Bacterial small subunit ribosomal RNA", at positions 524 to 776 of the family's 1533-position model. The record is from RNAcentral.
UACGUAGGCAGCGAGCGUUGUUCGGAGUUACUGGGCGUAAAGAGUGCGUAGGCGGUUUUCUAAGUUUGGUGUGAAAUCUACCGGCUUAACUGGGAGGGUGCGCCGAAGACUGGAAGGCUUGAGUAUGGGAGAGGUAAGCGGAAUUCCUGGUGUAGCGGUGAAAUGCGUAGAUAUCAGGAGGAACACCUGCGGUGUAGACGGCUUACUGGACCAUCACUGACGCUGAGGCACGAAAGCGUGGGUAGCAAACAGG